Molecule: ribosomal RNA, 440 nt
Filed under: uncultured bacterium
Lineage: Bacteria
Description: partial 16S ribosomal RNA
Rfam family: Bacterial small subunit ribosomal RNA
Source: RNAcentral
CCUACGGGAGGCAGCAGUGGGGAAUAUUGCUCAAUGGGGGAAACCCUGAAGCAGCAACGCCGCGUGAAGGAUGAAGGCUUUAGGAGUGUUAACUUCUUUUUGUAGGGAAGAAUAUGACGGUAUCUAACUAAUAAGCAACGGCGAACUACGUGCCAGCAGCCGCAGUAAUACGUAGGGAGCAAGCGUUAUCCGGAUUUACUGGGCGUAAAGGGGGCGUAGGCGGGUUAACAAGUCAGAUGUGAAAUCCUGGGGCUUAACUCCGGAACUGCCUUUGAAACUGUUAAUCUAGAGUGGAGGAGAGGUAGGUGGAAUUCGUGGUGUAGCGGUGAAAUGCGUAGAGAUCAGGAGGAACACCGAUUGCGAAGGCGGCUUACUGGACUGUAACUGACGCUGAGGCACGAAAGCGUGGGGAGCAAACAGGAUUAGAUACCCUUGUAGUC